This 397-nucleotide ribosomal RNA is filed under the name uncultured bacterium. Its description in RNAcentral is "partial 16S ribosomal RNA". It matches the Rfam family "Bacterial small subunit ribosomal RNA", at positions 523 to 918 of the family's 1533-position model. The record is from RNAcentral.
AUACGUAGGGGGCGAGCGUUGUCCGGAAUUACUGGGCGUAAAGGGUGCGUAGGUGGCACUUUAAGUUGGAUGUGAAAUCCCCGUGCUUAACAUGGGAGCUGCAUCCAAUACUGGAGAGCUAGAGUGCAGGAGAGGUAAGCGGAAUUCCUAGUGUAGCGGUGAAAUGCGUAGAUAUUAGGAGGAACACCAGUGGCGAAGGCGGCUUUCUGGACUGUAACUGACGCUGAGGCACGAAAGCGUGGGGAGCAAACAGGAUUAGAUACCCUGGUAGUCCACGCUGUAAACGAUGAAUACUAGGUGUAGGGGGUAUCAACUCCCUCUGUGCCGCAGCAAACGCAAUAAGUAUUCCGCCUGGGGAGUACGGCCGCAAGGUUGAAACUCAAAUGAAUUGACGGGG